ACGCGGGGAGACCAAAUUUUUAGUGCCAACCCAUAAUUCCACAAGCCCACACCCGGGCGCCUCUAUGCCGAAACCCUAGCAAGUUACUGCAGCCGCCUCCAUCUCUCCCAAUCAUCCCGUCCAAUCCCAAUCCACAUGUUCCAGCCACCACCAUCCCCACUUCGGCGCCUUCUCAUGCCACCUCGACGCCGGUGAGGCAUCCGUCCUGGCGCGCACCCAAACGGGGUGGCGGCAGAUCUACAUCGAUGGUGUGGUUUGCAUCCGGUCAUCAGGAGAGGCGAGGAGACGCCGAUCCAGAAGGCAGGCCAUGGCGGCGGCUAGAUCCAUGCCGAGACAGGAUCUGCAUCUGGAGACCCAUAGCAUGGAGGGAGAAGACCCACGCCAUGGAGUUGUUCGUCAAGGAGCUCCUAUGAGAGCAGUUUGCGGUCGGAGGGCCCGGUCGGCCGGCGAUGGAUGCCGGCGACGGAGGUCUCCUCUCCACGGAUCUGUGAUGGAGCGCGUGCUUAUUUUCCUCUCCACGGAUCAAGGCAUAUCCACUGGAUCCAUGCGGUGUUGGAGGAGAUGAUGCGGUUCGUGUGCCUCCCCUUCUUUGCGUAUGUGUAGCAGGUGCAAUAGCUAGAGCGGCCAGAGGAGGUGGAGGAGCUGGCCAGCACCCAUCGCCUGGACAUAAGCUUCCACCUGCAGAAGAGCACCUGCUCCUCGUGCGGCUACCCCGCCGCCCGCAUCCGCAAGUGUAAGUCCAUCCCACCCCCAGAUCCCGCGGUUACUCUGCGCAUAUGUGAAUCAACCUCGCGAAUCCGCAUGUAUUUCACCUCCACUUCUGGCUCCUCUCCUCUUCUGUACACUCACACAUCAAGGCUCUCGCCUGUUUGAAAAAAUGCCCUGAAGAAAUCGUGAACGAGUCAGAUUCUUUCUUCUAAUCCAUCGCUUUGGAUAUUCUUGAUCAACGGGAUGUCUGAGCAAUAUAAGUAUUUUUUUAGGAUGUAUAAAAUCUGCAUGUAUGAUGACUAUGUACAAUAUACGUAGCUUCCUUUAAAGGUUAUAAGAACUGCAAUAACAUUCAAGUUUGAACAGGUGCGAUACGAACCUAGGAAAGCCUUAUUCUAUGGACCAGUAACUACUAACAAGCUUCAUUGCAUAUAUAUUACUCCCUCCAUCCUGAAAUAAGUCACUCAACUUUGUACUAAAGUUAGUACAAACUUAUUUUGGGACGGAGGGAGUACUUGUUAUUACUGUUUGAAUUGUUACUAGAGACGCAGAACAAAAUUUGGCCCACAUGUUUCUUUAUGCUCUGAAUGUUUAGCAGUUUUGAACCUUUAGUUAAGCCACUUCUUUGAUAUUAAGUGUAUUGCAUGAUCACUUGUACUUGCUGAUUUUAAGCAUCUUCUUCACUGAAAGAAAAUAUCAGUAGCCCCUUGCUUUCUUUCCUUGUACAGUUUGAAAAUUAGGAUUACAUUCAAAUUUUAAACUGAUUCAAUAUGGGUAAACAAUGAACAGACCUUGUCACGUGGGUCAGGUUAAUUAGUUUGUUUGUGUAUAGUUACCAGAGCGGUAUAUGUUUUUGGUAGGAUGUGAAUGUGUAGCAGUUUGGAACCUUCAAGCUACUGUUUUGGGGUUAAGCAGAUGUCAUGUAUCAGUUUAGUGCUACUUUGGUGUCAAUCUUUGGUUAGACAUGGCAUGCUCUGUCCAGUAUUUGUUGGUUGCAAGGAUUAGCUUCGCUCUUCUUUGGAAUGCCUGAUGUUAGAUGUCACGUGGUUGCAAAAAUAUCUUUGUCUGAGCUUUCUAUGAAGAUAUUGCUCUACUUAUUUGAUUUACACACUACUUCUCUAGCAUCCUAGAUAAUCCUAGAUGUUUAGUAAACUAACAGUGUUUUCUCUCUUCUAUGAGAUGCACUUCCUUGCAUCAUUCCAGAAAGCACAGGAGGAGAAGCUAUUCUUCUUAGAAUCUGAUAGUGAAUCAGAGAGCGACUGCCAGGAGGCGCAAGCAUAGGUCAAAGAGGAGGUAUUCAGACUCUAGUGAUGAGAGUGACAGCGAUAACUACAAUAGUGAAUCUGAAGAAAAUAUACAUUGUAUUGUAUAUGCUACUGAAAUAAAAUAUACAUUUUAUUUGCAAUCAAUAGAUGACUAUGUAGGAUGAUGUAUUGUA
Hordeum vulgare subsp. vulgare (domesticated barley) is the source of this 2146-nucleotide long non-coding RNA. RefSeq lists it as uncharacterized. The record is from RefSeq and is a predicted model, not a curated record. The transcript is spliced from 4 exons. NCBI's taxonomy places the organism in Eukaryota, Viridiplantae, Streptophyta, Magnoliopsida, Poales, Poaceae.